GCCGGUUUAGCUCAGCAGGUAGAGCAGCUGAUUUGUAAUCAGAAGGUCGUGGGUUCGAUUCCUAUAACCGGCA
Molecule: transfer RNA, 73 nt
Filed under: Paracoccus sulfuroxidans
Lineage: Bacteria; Pseudomonadati; Pseudomonadota; Alphaproteobacteria; Rhodobacterales; Paracoccaceae
Also listed under: 3 other names
Rfam family: tRNA
About the family: Transfer RNA (tRNA) molecules are approximately 80 nucleotides in length. Their secondary structure includes four short double-helical elements and three loops (D, anti-codon, and T loops).
Source: Rfam by way of RNAcentral